This 293-nucleotide long non-coding RNA is filed under the name Elaeis guineensis (African oil palm). RNAcentral describes it as "long non-coding RNA (EGUI_LNC015702)". The record is from RNAcentral. Lineage: Eukaryota; Viridiplantae; Streptophyta; Magnoliopsida; Arecales; Arecaceae.
CUCUCUCUCCCACUUUUACUCUCUUUUUCUUAUUGUUUUCAAGCUUCAACUAAAUUAGGCAUCGGGGGAUUUCCCAUUGAAAAACUCCUGACAAAUGUGAACUUUCCUUGCAGGUUCUCUCCGAUGCCUAGCUUUUCGAAUAGAGUCCAACUCCAGCAAUGCAUCGGAGAUGUGUAGCAACAUACUUCAUGGUUGCAGUAGACUUGGAAAAGGUAUGCGAAAUUCAUUGUCAUGUACGCUCUACAAAGAAACCAGCGAAUAGAAAUUUCUAUACAAACAAUUUUAUACCGGUU